Molecule: ribosomal RNA, 465 nt
Filed under: uncultured bacterium
Lineage: Bacteria
Description: partial 16S ribosomal RNA
Rfam family: Bacterial small subunit ribosomal RNA
Source: RNAcentral
CCUACGUGCAGCAGCAGUGGGGAAUAUUGCGCAAUGGGCGAAAGCCUGACGCAGCGACGCCGCGUGAGGGAUGAAGGUCUUCGGAUCGUAAACCUCUGUCAGCAGGGAAGAACGGUCACUGUGCUAAUCAGCAGUGAAUUGACGGUACCUGCAAAGGACGCACCGGCUAACUCCGUGCCAGCAGCCGCGGUAAUACGGGGGGUGCGAGAGUUAAGCGGAAUUACUGGGCGUAAGGCGCUCGUAGGCGGUAUGUCAAGUCAAGGGUGAAAUCCCCGCGCUCAACGUGGGAGCUGCCUUUGAAACUGGCAAACUGGAGUGUGUGAGAGGAUAGUGGAAGUCCAGGUGUAGGAGUGAAAUCCGUAGAGAUCUGGAGGAACAUCAGUGGCGAAGGCGACUAUCUGGCACAUAACUGACGCUGAGGAGCGAAAGCGUGGGUAGCAAACAGGAUUAGAUACCCGUGUAGUC